Molecule: ribosomal RNA, 634 nt
Filed under: uncultured Actinomycetales bacterium
Lineage: Bacteria; Bacillati; Actinomycetota; Actinomycetes; Actinomycetales
Description: bacterial SSU rRNA
Rfam family: Bacterial small subunit ribosomal RNA
Source: RNAcentral
CUCGAGUGGCGAACGGGUGAGUAACACGUGGGUGAUCUGCCCUGCACUUCGGGAUAAGCUUGGGAAACUGGGUCUAAUACCGGAUAGGAACCAUCUUUAGUGUGGUGGUUGGAAAGUUUUUUCGGUGUAGGAUGAGCUCGCGGCCUAUCAGCUUGUUGGUGGGGUAAUGGCCUACCAAGGCGGCGACGGGUAGCCGGCCCGAGAGGGUGUACGGCCACAUUGGGACUGAGAUACGGCCCAGACUCCUACGGGAGGCAGCAGUGGGGAAUAUUGCACAAUGGGCGCAAGCCUGAUGCAGCGACGCCGCGUGGGGGAUGAAUGCCUUCGGGUUGUAAACUCCUUUCGCUAGGGACGAAGCUUUUUGUGACGGUACCUAGAUAAGAAGCACCGGCUAACUACGUGCCAGCAGCCGCGGUAAUACGUAGGGUGCGAGCGUUGUCCGGAAUUACUGGGCGUAAAGGGCUCGUAGGUGGUUUGUCGCGUCGUCUGUGAAAUUCUGGGGCUUAACUCCGGGCGUGCAGGCGAUACGGGCAUAACUUGAGUGCUGUAGGGGUAACUGGAAUUCCUGGUGUAGCGGUGAAAUGCGCAGAUAUCAGGAGGAACACCGAUGGCGAAGGCAGGUUACUGGGCAGUU